RNAcentral lists this ribosomal RNA (496 nucleotides) under uncultured bacterium. RNAcentral describes it as "partial 16S ribosomal RNA". It matches the Rfam family "Bacterial small subunit ribosomal RNA", at positions 28 to 507 of the family's 1533-position model. The record is from RNAcentral.
GAUGAACGCUGGCGGCGUGCCUAAUACAUGCAAGUCGAGCGAACAGAUGAGGAGCUUGCUCCUCUGACGUUAGCGGCGGACGGGUGAGUAACACGUGGAUAACCUACCUAUAAGACUGGGAUAACUUCGGGAAACCGGAGCUAAUACCGGAUAAUAUAUUGAACCGCAUGGUUCAAUAGUGAAAGACGGUUUUGCUGUCACUUAUAGAUGGAUCCGCGCCGCAUUAGCUAGUUGGUAAGGUAACGGCUUACCAAGGCGACGAUGCGUAGCCGACCUGAGAGGGGGAUCGGCCACAGGGGAACUGAAACCCGGCCCAGACCCCUACGGGAGGCAGCAGUAGGAAAUCUUCCGCAAGGGGCGAAACCCUGACGGGGAAACGCCGGGUGAGGAAUAAAGGUUCUGGGACCGAAAAACCUUUUUAUUGGGGAAAAAAAAAUGUGAAAGAAACUAUGCACGUCUUGACGGGCCCAAAUCAAAAACCCCGGGCAACCUAGGG